RNAcentral lists this ribosomal RNA (592 nucleotides) under uncultured bacterium. RNAcentral's name for it is "bacterial SSU rRNA". It matches the Rfam family "Bacterial small subunit ribosomal RNA", at positions 336 to 929 of the family's 1533-position model. The record is from RNAcentral.
CUCCUACGGGAGGCAGCAGUGAGGAAUAUUGGUCAAUGGACGCAAGUCUGAACCAGCCAAGUAGCGUGCAGGAUGACGGCCCUAUGGGUUGUAAACUGCUUUUAUGUGGGAAUAAAGUGGCGCACGUGUGCGCCAUUGCAUGUACCUCAUGAAUAAGGACCGGCUAAUUCCGUGCCAGCAGCCGCGGUAAUACGGAAGGUCCGGGCGUUAUCCGGAUUUAUUGGGUUUAAAGGGAGUGUAGGCGGUCUGUUAAGCGUGUUGUGAAAUUUAGGUGCUCAACAUUUAACUUGCAGCGCGAACUGUCAGACUUGAGUACACGCAGCGCAGGCGGAAUUCAUGGUGUAGCGGUGAAAUGCUUAGAUAUCAUGAGGAACUCCGAUCGCGAAGGCAGCCUGCGGGAGUGUUACUGACGCUUAAGCUCGAAGGUGCGGGUAUCGAACAGGAUUAGAUACCCUGGUAGUCCGCACUGUAAACGAUGGAUGCCCGCCGUUGGCGCCCUGCGCCUGCGGCCAAGCGAAAGCAUUAAGCAUCCCACCUGGGGAGUACGCCGGCAACGGUGAAACUCAAAGGAAUUGACGGGGGCCCGCACAAG